RNAcentral lists this ribosomal RNA (490 nucleotides) under uncultured bacterium. RNAcentral's name for it is "partial 16S ribosomal RNA". It matches the Rfam family "Bacterial small subunit ribosomal RNA", at positions 30 to 507 of the family's 1533-position model. The record is from RNAcentral.
AUUGAACGCUGGCGGCAGGCCUAACACAUGCAAGUCGAACGGUAACAGGAAACAGCUUGCUGUUUCGCUGACGAGUGGCGGACGGGUGAGUAAUGUCUGGGAAACUGCCUGAUGGAGGGGGAUAACUACUGGAAACGGUAGCUAAUACCGCAUAACGUCGCAAGACCAAAGAGGGGGACCCUCGGGCCUCUUGCCAUCGGAUGUGCCCAGAUGGGAUUAGCUUGUUGGUGGGGUAACGGCUCACCAAGGCGACGAUCCCUAGCUGGUCUGAGAGGAUGACCAGCCACACUGGAACUGAGACACGGUCCAGACUCCUACGGGAGGCAGCAGUGGGGAAUAUUGCACAAUGGGCGCAAGCCUGAUGCAGCCAUGCCGCGUGUAUGAAGAAGGCCUUCGGGUUGUAAAGUACUUUCAGCGGGGAGGAAGGGAGUAAAGUUAAUACCUUUGCUCAUUGACGUUACCCGCAGAAGAGGCACCGGCUAACUCCGUG